Molecule: ribosomal RNA, 253 nt
Filed under: uncultured bacterium
Lineage: Bacteria
Description: partial 16S ribosomal RNA
Rfam family: Bacterial small subunit ribosomal RNA
Source: RNAcentral
UACGUAGGGUGCGAGCGUUAAUCGGAAUUACUGGGCGUAAAGCGUGCGCAGGCGGUUCGACAAGUCCGAUGUGAAAGCCCCGGGCUCAACCUGGGAAUGGCAUUGGAAACUGGCGAGCUUGAGUGUGGCAGAGGGGGGUGGAAUUCCGCGUGUAGCAGUGAAAUGCGUAGAGAUGCGGAGGAACACCGAUGGCGAAGGCAGCCCCCUGGGCUGACACUGACGCUCAGGUACGAAAGCGUGGGGAGCAAACAGG